GAAGCACCUCGUUCGGUGAGGCUUCUGUGCGGACACAGGCCACUGACCCCCCAACGUCGAGAGACGUUCCGGGUCAGGACAGGUCUCCCCGGCCUAAGGGGUGACCCCAAGUGGCUUCCCGGCAACGGGAUACGCCGUGCAGUGCCAAAGCUCUGACGAGAGGGGUGUGCG
RNAcentral lists this small RNA (171 nucleotides) under Kutzneria viridogrisea DSM 43870. Its description in RNAcentral is "Kutzneria albida DSM 43870 M-box riboswitch aptamer (ykoK leader)". It matches the Rfam family "M-box riboswitch aptamer (ykoK leader)". Rfam says of the family: M-box riboswitch, also know as ykoK leader is described as a metaloregulatory RNA that sense divalent metals and function as a genetic control element of genes related to divalent metal transport in bacteria. It was first reported upstream of the B.subtilis ykoK gene and genes with related functions in other bacteria. Phylogenetic analysis of the distribution of M-box RNAs across bacterial genomes revealed that M-box riboswitches are most often employed for the regulation of Mg2+ transporter genes The record is from Rfam by way of RNAcentral. Lineage: Bacteria; Bacillati; Actinomycetota; Actinomycetes; Pseudonocardiales; Pseudonocardiaceae.